CAGUGUGUUUCUUAGGAGAGGACAUUUGAGCUCAGACUUGAAAUAGAGAAGGAACCUACCGUAUGAAGAUCUGGGGGAACGAACAAUUUGGGCAGAGCGAACAAGUGCAAAGGCUCUAAAGUCGGAGCUGUUUUGGCAAAUUGAGGGACAAGCAGGCCUGAUGUGGGUGGAGCAAACAGCACCAGGGGGCGGCUGACAGAAGAUGGUAUCAGAGAGGGUUGGAUCUCACUUAGUGUGGUCAGGGAGUUUGUAUUUUAUACUAAGUGUAGAAAAGUCGUGGGGACGGGGCAGUUUACACAGGGAGGGAUGUAUGUUUUAAAGAUGAUGACCUCGAUUUUGAGGGUAGGCAGGUUAGGGGUGGGCAAGAGUGAAGUAGGGAGAUUAGCACAAAGAGGCCUGGCAAUUAUGGUGACUUGCACUGGAGUGUUGGCCGUGGCGAUGGACGGUAGUACUCUGGGUUGAGAUGUAGUUUGAAAGCAGAGCUGACCGGACUUGCUGGUGGAAUGUAGGGGUGAGGGCAAGGUGAAGCAAAAUUCUCUCCCAUGUUUCUGAUCUUAUCCACUUAACGACUUGAUUUGUUCAGUGAAGUAUGGAUUGACUGGCCAAUAAAGACUGAUGGCACUUCUAGCCCUGCAGGAAAGGCAGAGGAAAUAUGGUCUAAUCAUUAGAAGCUUCUGCAAGAUGCUGGCCUUGUUUCUGCCCUCUGGUUACAAAAGACAGAGAAAUGCUUGUCUCCUGAAAGCUGCUUAUGUGUUUAAAAACACCCUUAAAACAAAACAAAAUAAAACAACACCCCUUGCAUUUCCUCUAA
Non-coding RNA from Vicugna pacos (alpaca), 811 nucleotides. The record is from RefSeq and is a predicted model, not a curated record. NCBI's taxonomy places the organism in Eukaryota, Metazoa, Chordata, Mammalia, Artiodactyla, Camelidae.